RNAcentral lists this long non-coding RNA (312 nucleotides) under Capsella rubella. RNAcentral's name for it is "long non-coding RNA (CRUB_LNC001425)". The record is from RNAcentral. Lineage: Eukaryota; Viridiplantae; Streptophyta; Magnoliopsida; Brassicales; Brassicaceae.
UCAGAUCUGACACUAUAAAUAUCAAAUUCCACAUAACUAAGUGCUUCCCACUUUUGCACCACUUACUGCGACGAUUGCGGAUUUUUGUGUGUGUGUGUAUCUCAAGAACCAGAUUAUCAAAUAACAACUAUCCAUGUUUAUUCUUGAUUUCUUUCUAAUUGUAAAAUCCAUUUACGAUUUCUACGUACGUACAAUAGUUUUAAAGUUUAGACCAAACGCUAGAAUAUCAUAUUUGGUUUUUGACAAUAAUCAUACGCCAAAAAAAAAAAAACCAUGUCCGAUCCUGGAUUCAAUAUAAAUAAAAGAUAAAAC